GAUGAAGAACGUAGCGAAAUGCGAAAAGUAAUGUGAAUUGCAGAAUUCAGUGAACCAUCGAAUCUUUGAACGCACAUUGCGCCCGCUGGAACUCCGGCGGGCACGCCUGUCCGAGCGUCAUUUCAACCCUCAGGCCCCCCUUCGCGGGCGGGCCUGGUGUUGGGGCCCGGCCGCUACCCUGCGGCCGUCCCCUAAAUCCAGUGGGGGCCUCGCCGUGAUCCCUUGCGUAGUAAUGCACCUCGCACCGGAGAGCGCCGUGGCCACGCCGUAAAACCCCCAAUUUUCAAUGGUUGACCUCGGAUCAGGUGGGAAUACCCGCUGAACUUAAGCAUAUCAAUAAGCGGAGGA
This 348-nucleotide unclassified non-coding RNA is filed under the name soil metagenome. RNAcentral describes it as "partial contains 5.8S ribosomal RNA, internal transcribed spacer 2, and large subunit ribosomal RNA". The stretch from base 1 to 120 matches the Rfam family "5.8S ribosomal RNA", at positions 35 to 154 of the family's 154-position model. The record is from RNAcentral.